UUUUUUGCCGAAUUCCUUUAAUUAAUUUCUCAUAAAUUACAAAUUUAAUUAAUCUUUAUAUACUAAUUUUAUCAUUAUAUCUAAUUUUACAUUAUUAAAAUAUAUUUUUUUAUAAAAAUUUAAAUUUUUUUUUAAAAUUUUAAUUUUAAUUAAAUUAUUUAUAAAAAAUUAUAAUUUAUUUGAAAAUUUAAAUCUUAAAAUUUUAAUUAUUUUUAAAAUAAAUUAUAAAAAUUUAUUUUAAAGCUUAUCCCUUAAAAUAUUUAAUAUUAAUAAAUAAAAUUUUUUUCAUUAAAAAUUUUAAAUUUAAUAUUUAAAAUUAAAUUUUUUUCUAAAAAAACUAGAUAUUUUUAAAAACGAUUAACAUUUCAUUUCCAAUUAAUUAUUAAAAAUAAUUAUAUUACAUUAACUUUAUUAAUUAAUUAACUCUUUUAAAUUCGAGAAAUUUUUAUUUAAAAAAUAUUAUUAAUAAACUCUGAUACACAAGAUACAAUAAAUUAAAUUUACUUAAAAAUAAAUUUACCUUUUUAUAUUUCAAAAUUCUUUUACAAUACUAUUUCACUAUAAAUUUUUUAAUUUUUUCUAUAGAUAUACUUUAACCCCCAUUAAAAUAUUCUUAAAAAUUUUUUUAUUAUUUAUAUUUUAUUAAUUUUUCCCCC
RNAcentral lists this ribosomal RNA (656 nucleotides) under Papilio rutulus (western tiger swallowtail). RNAcentral's name for it is "partial large subunit ribosomal RNA". The record is from RNAcentral. Lineage: Eukaryota; Metazoa; Arthropoda; Insecta; Lepidoptera; Papilionidae.